This 496-nucleotide ribosomal RNA is filed under the name uncultured bacterium. Its description in RNAcentral is "partial 16S ribosomal RNA". It matches the Rfam family "Bacterial small subunit ribosomal RNA", at positions 29 to 507 of the family's 1533-position model. The record is from RNAcentral.
ACGAACGCUGGCGGCGUGCCUAAUACAUGCAAGUAGAACGCUGAAGAGAGGAGCUUGCUCUUCUUGGAUGAGUUGAGAACGGGUGAGUAACGCGUAGGUAACCUGCCUUGUAGCGGGGGAUAACUAUUGGAAACGAUAGCUAAUACCGCAUAACAAUGGAUGACACAUGUCAUUUAUUUGAAAGGGGCAAUUGCUCCACUACAAGAUGGACCUGCGUUGUAUUAGCUAGUAGGUGAGGUAAUGGUUCACCUAGGCGACGAUACAUAGCCGACCUGAGAGGGUGAUCGGCCACACUGGGACUGAGACACGGCCCAGACUCCUACGGGAGGCAGCAGUAGGGAAUCUUCGGCAAUGGGGGCAACCCUGACCGAGCAACGCCGCGUGAGUGAAGAAGGUUUUCGGAUCGUAACGCUCUGUUGUAAGUCAAGAACGGGUGUGAGAGUGGAAAGUUCACACUGUGACGGUAGCUUACCAGAAAGGGACGGCUAACUACGUG